CCGAUUUAACCGUUCGGCUCCUGUCUUUUGUGUUUUCACAGGUUGAUUCCUAUUGUCUUCAGCACUUCUCUCUUGGUUUCACCAAGUGGCCAGAAAGUUUAUGGACAAUGCUGUGAUGGGCCCCUCACUGUUGGAAUCCUGUUUACUGAUGGAUCGAUCCCAGUUUCGUUAUGGUUCCUGAUCGGAGUCCGGCUGGAUUUUGGAUCUCCUGUUCUAUUUAAUUUGGAAUGUUUCAUCGUUCCUGUUUUGUUGUUAUUGUGUCGCAUCUCCAAAGAAAGAGGAAAUGGGUGGGGAUGUGCUAACUAUUAUACUGGGACUUGGUAUGGGUGUGGCCUAUCACUAUGGUUACCGUUUUUUCUUACUGUUGUAUUCUUUGCUGCUAUUGGUGGACAGUAAAGAAAGG
Pelobates cultripes (western spadefoot toad) is the source of this 403-nucleotide non-coding RNA. NCBI's taxonomy places the organism in Eukaryota, Metazoa, Chordata, Amphibia, Anura, Pelobatidae. The record is from the annotation of a GenBank genome assembly.